RNAcentral lists this ribosomal RNA (446 nucleotides) under uncultured bacterium. Its description in RNAcentral is "partial 16S ribosomal RNA". It matches the Rfam family "Bacterial small subunit ribosomal RNA", at positions 338 to 795 of the family's 1533-position model. The record is from RNAcentral.
CCUACGGGGUGCAGCAGUCGAGAAUCAUUCACAAUGGGGGAAACCCUGAUGGUGCGACGCCGCGUGGGGGAAUGAAGGUCUUCGGAUUGUAAACCCCUGUCAUGUGGGAGCAAAUUAAAAAGAUAGUACCACAAGAGGAAGAGACGGCUAACUCUGUGCCAGCAGCCGCGGGAAUACAGAGGUCUCAAGCGUUGUUCGGAAUCAUUGGGCGUAAAGCGUGCGUAGGCUGUUUCGUAAGUCGUGUGUGAAAGGCGCGGGCUCAACCCGCGGACGGCACAUGAUACUGCGAGACUAGAGUAAUGGAGGGGGAACCGGAAUUCUCGGUGUAGCAGUGAAAUGCGUAGAUAUCGAGAGGAACACUCGUGGCGAAGGCGGGUUCCUGGACAUUAACUGACGCUGAGGCACGAAGGCCAGGGGAGCGAAAGGGAUUAGAUACCCCAGUAGUC